This 468-nucleotide ribosomal RNA is filed under the name uncultured bacterium. RNAcentral's name for it is "partial 16S ribosomal RNA". It matches the Rfam family "Bacterial small subunit ribosomal RNA", at positions 28 to 507 of the family's 1533-position model. The record is from RNAcentral.
GACGAACGCUGGCGGCGUGCUUAACACAUGCAAGUCGAACGGAAAGGCCCUGCUUUUGUGGGGUGCUCGAGUGGCGAACGGGUGAGUAACACGUGAGUAACCUGCCCUUGACUUUGGGAUAACUUCAGGAAACUGGGGCUAAUACCGGAUAGGAGCUCCUGCUGCAUGGUGGGGGUUGGAAAGUUUCGGCGGUUGGGGAUGGACUCGCGGCUUAUCAGCUUGUUGGUGGGGUAGUGGCUGACCAAGGCUUUGACGGGUAGCCGGCCUGAGAGGGUGACCGGCCACAUUAGGACUGAGGUACGGCCCAGACUCGUACGGGAGGCAGCAGUGGGGAAUAUUGCACAAUGGGCGGAAGCCUGAUGCAGCGACGCCGCGUGCGGGAUGACGGCCUUCGGGUUGUAAACCGCUUUCGCCUGUGACGAAGCGUGAGUGACGGUAAUGGGUAAAGAAGCACCGGCUAACUACGUG